AAUACGUUCCCGGGCCUUGUACACACCGCCCGUCACGUCAUGAAAGCCGGGGGCGCCUGAAGCCGGCGGGGUAACCGUAAGGGGCCAGCCGUCGAGGGCGAACCCGGUGAUUGGGACG
This 118-nucleotide ribosomal RNA is filed under the name uncultured bacterium. RNAcentral describes it as "partial 16S ribosomal RNA". It matches the Rfam family "Bacterial small subunit ribosomal RNA", at positions 1365 to 1482 of the family's 1533-position model. The record is from RNAcentral.